This 82-nucleotide transfer RNA is filed under the name Mesorhizobium sp. M6A.T.Ce.TU.002.03.1.1. RNAcentral describes it as "tRNA-Ala". Lineage: Bacteria; Pseudomonadati; Pseudomonadota; Alphaproteobacteria; Hyphomicrobiales; Phyllobacteriaceae. The record is from RNAcentral.
GGGGCCAGGAACUACGGAUCGUCAACAGUACAGUUGCAUGGCAAUCAAGAGGUCGUCGGUUCGAUUCCGAUUGGCUCCACCA